RNAcentral lists this ribosomal RNA (990 nucleotides) under Alexandrium margalefii. RNAcentral describes it as "partial Bacterial large subunit ribosomal RNA". It matches the Rfam family "Bacterial large subunit ribosomal RNA", at positions 636 to 1682 of the family's 2925-position model. The record is from RNAcentral. Lineage: Eukaryota; Dinophyceae; Gonyaulacales; Pyrocystaceae.
CGUAGCAAGCCUAAGCCGCUCAGCGGUGGAGGCGCAGCGAAAGCGAGUCUGAAUAGGGCGCUCAGUUGCUGGCAUUAGACCCGAAGGGGAGGUGAUCUAACCAUGACCAGGUUGAAGCGUUAGUAAAAUAACGUGGAGGACCGAACCGGUGUAUCUUGAGAAAUGCUCGGAUGAGUUGUGGUUAGGAGCGAAAGACUAAUCAAACCCCCUGAUAGCUGGUUCUUUCCGAAAUAUAUUGAGGUAUAGCGUCGAGCGCUGACCUGUGGAGGUAGAGCACUGAAUAAGCUAGGGCCCCUACCGGGGUACUGAACUUUAUCAAACUCCGAAUGCCACAGGGUGAAGCUCGGCAGUCAGACAGUGGGUGCUAACGUCCAUUGUCGAGAGGGAAACAACCCAGACCAUCGAUUAAGGUCCCUAAAUAUGGCUCAGUGGUAAAGGAUGUGAUUUUACUUAGACAAUGGGGAUGUUGGCUUAGAGGCAGCCACCAUUUAAACAGUGCGUAAUAGCUGACCCAUCGAGUGAAAUUGCGCCGAAAAUGAUCGGGACUUAAGCUACAUACCGAAGCUAUGGAUUUCUGAUCUUCGGAUCAGGAGUAGUAGGAAAGCGUUCCAAGUGCAGCGAAGGAGAAGGGGCAACCGACUCUGGAGCGCUUGGAAGUGAGAAUGCAGACAUGAGUAACGAUAAAGAUGGUUAAAGUCCAUCUCGCCGUAAGGAUAAGGUUUCCUGGGGAAGGUUCGUCCGCCCAGGGUUAGCCGGGAGCUAAGACGAGGCCGUAAGGAGUAGUCGAUGCACAGGAGGCUAAUAUUCCUCCGCCGGCUUGCAACUAUCCCUAGAGUGCUGAUCGAGGGACCCUACAGACCUGUUAUGACAAGGCACUGCAAAGCUACGGCUGAGUGGGUGUAGGGAAACAAGGUUACAAGAAAAGCUCUAGGAUUACUAUGCAGGUCGCCCGUACCGCAAACCGACACAGGUAUCCGGGAUGAGUAUUCU